GCACAAGCGAUGGAUGAUGUGGAUUAAUUCGAUGCAACGCGAAAACCUUACCUACCCUUGACAUGUCUGGAACCUUGGUGAGAGCCGAGGUGCCUUCGGGAGCCAGAACACAGGUGCUGCAUGGCUGUCGUCAGCUCGUGUCGUGAGAUGUUGGGUUAAGUCCCGCAACGAGCGCAACCCUUGUCACUAGUUGCCAUCAUUUAGUUGGGCACUCUAGUGAGACUGCCGGUGGCAAACCGGAGGAAGGUGGGGAUGACGUCAAGUCCUCAUGGCCCUUAUGGGUAGGGCUUCACACGUCAUACAAUGGUCGGUACAGAGGGUUGCCAAGCCGCGAGGUGGAGCCAAUCCCUUAAAGCCGAUCGUAGUCCGGAUCGUAGUCUGCAACUCGACUACGUGAAGUCGGAAUCGCUAGUGAUCGCAGAUCAGCAUGCUGCGGUGAAUACGUUCCCGGGUCUU
RNAcentral lists this ribosomal RNA (456 nucleotides) under uncultured Thauera sp. RNAcentral's name for it is "bacterial SSU rRNA". It matches the Rfam family "Bacterial small subunit ribosomal RNA", at positions 923 to 1382 of the family's 1533-position model. The record is from RNAcentral. Lineage: Bacteria; Pseudomonadati; Pseudomonadota; Betaproteobacteria; Rhodocyclales; Zoogloeaceae.